Molecule: ribosomal RNA, 446 nt
Filed under: uncultured bacterium
Lineage: Bacteria
Description: partial 16S ribosomal RNA
Rfam family: Bacterial small subunit ribosomal RNA
Source: RNAcentral
GUGAGGAAUAUUGGUCAAUGGAGGCAACUCUGAACCAGCCAUGCCGCGUGCAGGAAGACGGUCCUAUGGAUUGUAAACUGCUUUUAUUUAGGAAUAAACCCCCGGUCGUGCACCGGGGCUGAAUGUACUAAAAGAAUAAGCACCGGCUAACUCCGUGCCAGCAGCCGCGGUAAUACGGAGGGUGCAAGCGUUAUCCGGAAUCAUUGGGUUUAAAGGGUCCGCAGGCGGGUAAAUAAGUCAGAGGUGAAAUCCGGCAGCUCAACUGUCGCACUGCCUUUGAUACUGUUUAUCUUGAAUUUUAGUGGAGUGGGCGGAAUAUGUCAUGUAGCGGUGAAAUGCUUAGAUAUGACGUGGAACACCGAUAGCGAAGGCAGCUCACUAACUAUGAAUUGACGCUCAUGGACGAAAGCGUGGGUAGCAAACAGGAUUAGAAACCCGUGUAGUCC